UACGGGGGGUGCGAGCGUUGUCCGGAUUCACUGGGCGUAAAGGGUGCGCAGGCGGCCAAGUGUGUGAGGCGUGAAAGCCCGGGGCUUAACCCCGGAAUUGCACCUCAAACUACAUGGCUAGAGCAUUGGAGAGGGUAGCAGAAUUCACGGUGUAGCAGUGAAAUGCGUAGAUAUCGUGAGGAAUACCAGAGGCGAAGGCGGCUACCUGGACAAUUGCUGACGCUCAGGCACGAAAGCGUGGGGAGCAAAAGGG
RNAcentral lists this ribosomal RNA (253 nucleotides) under uncultured bacterium. Its description in RNAcentral is "partial 16S ribosomal RNA". It matches the Rfam family "Bacterial small subunit ribosomal RNA", at positions 524 to 776 of the family's 1533-position model. The record is from RNAcentral.